Long non-coding RNA from Bufo bufo (common toad), 151 nucleotides. RefSeq lists it as uncharacterized. The transcript has 3 exons. NCBI's taxonomy places the organism in Eukaryota, Metazoa, Chordata, Amphibia, Anura, Bufonidae. The record is from RefSeq and is a predicted model, not a curated record.
UUAUUUCUUAAAUCCGCCAUUUUCUCUAUACCCACCUUAACUUGCAAAUUACCCUGCGGAUCUAUGUAAUGGCAACAAGAGGGUCCCACAACCUGGCACAUACCUCCAUCUUUAGCUGUAACAUAAUCUAGAACUAAUGUGUGUUGGUUGG